RNAcentral lists this ribosomal RNA (225 nucleotides) under uncultured Desulfosporosinus sp. RNAcentral describes it as "partial 16S ribosomal RNA". It matches the Rfam family "Bacterial small subunit ribosomal RNA", at positions 568 to 792 of the family's 1533-position model. Lineage: Bacteria; Bacillati; Bacillota; Clostridia; Eubacteriales; Desulfitobacteriaceae. The record is from RNAcentral.
UGCGUAGACGGUUUGUUAAGUCGGAUGUGAAAGAUCAGGGCUCAACCCUGAGAGUGCAUCGGAAACUGGGCAUCUUGAGGACAGGAGAGGAAAGUGGAAUUCCUAGUGUAGCGGUGAAAUGCGUAGAUAUUAGGAGGAACACCAGUGGCGAAGGCGACUUUCUGGACUGUAACUGACGCUGAGGCGCGAAAGCGUGGGGAGCAAACAGGAUUAGAUACCCGCGUA